UAACACAUGCAAGUCGAGCGCCCGUAGCAAUACGGGAGCGGCAGACGGGAGAGUAACACGUGGGAACGCGCCCUUCGGUUCGGAAUAACUCAGGGAAACUUGAGCUAAUACCGGAUACGCCCUUACGGGGAAAGAUUUAUUGCCGAAGGAACGGCCCGCGUCCGAUUAGCUAGUUGGUGAGGUAAUGGCUCACCAAGGCGACGAUCGGUAGCUGGUCUGAGAGGAUGACCAGCCUCACUGGGACUGAGACACGGCCCAGACUCCUACGGGAGGCAGCAGUGGGGAAUAUUGGACAAUGGGCGCAAGCCUGAUCCAGCCAUGCCGCGUGGAUGAUGAAGGCCCUAGGGUUGUAAAGUCCUUUUAACGGGGAAGAUAAUGACGGUACCCGUAGAAUAAGCCCCGGCUAACUUCGUGCCAGCAGCCGCGGUAAUACGAAGGGGGCUAGCGUUGCUCGGAAUUACUGGGCGUAAAGCGCACGUAGGCGGCUUUCUAAGUCGGGGGUGAAAUCCUGGAGCUCAACUCCAGAACUGCCUUCGAUACUGGAGAGCUUGAGUCCGGGAGAGGUGAGUGGAACUGCGAGUGUAGAGGUGAAAUUCGUAGAUAUUCGCAAGAACACCAGUGGCGAAGGCGGCUCACUGGCCCGGUACUGACGCUGAGGUGCGAAA
This 665-nucleotide ribosomal RNA is filed under the name uncultured bacterium. RNAcentral describes it as "bacterial SSU rRNA". It matches the Rfam family "Bacterial small subunit ribosomal RNA", at positions 49 to 758 of the family's 1533-position model. The record is from RNAcentral.